AGAGUUGAUCCUGGCUCAGAUUGAACGCUGGCGGCAUGCCUUACACAUGCAAGUCGAACGGCAGCGGGGGAGCUUGCUCCUGCCGGCGAGUGGCGAACGGGUGAGUAAUGCAUCGGAACGUGUCCUGUUGUGGGGGAUAACUGAUCGAAAGAUCAGCUAAUACCGCAUGAGACCUGAGGGUGAAAGCGGGGGAUCGCAAGACCUCGCGCGACAGGAGCGGCCGAUGUCUGAUUAGCUAGUUGGUGAGAUAAAAGCUUACCAAGGCGACGAUCAGUAGCUGGUCUGAGAGGAUGAUCAGCCACAUUGGGACUGAGACACGGCCCAGACUCCUACGGGAGGCAGCAGUGGGGAAUUUUGGACAAUGGGGGAAACCCUGACCCAGCCAUGCCGCGUGCGGGAUGAAGGCCUUCGGGUUGUAAACCGCUUUUGUCAGAGACGAAAAGGGACGCACGAAUAAUACGUUCCGCUGACAGUAUCUGAAGAAUAAGCACCGGCUAACUACGUGCCAGCAGCCGCGGUAAUACGUAGGGUGCAAGCGUUAAUCGGAAUUACUGGGCGUAAAGGGUGCGCAGGCGGCUGUGCAAGACAGAUGUGAAAUCCCCGGGCUUAACCUGGGAACUGCAUUUGUGACUGCAC
Molecule: ribosomal RNA, 636 nt
Filed under: uncultured bacterium
Lineage: Bacteria
Description: bacterial SSU rRNA
Rfam family: Bacterial small subunit ribosomal RNA
Source: RNAcentral